Molecule: ribosomal RNA, 253 nt
Filed under: uncultured bacterium
Lineage: Bacteria
Description: partial 16S ribosomal RNA
Rfam family: Bacterial small subunit ribosomal RNA
Source: RNAcentral
AACGUAGGACGCAAGCGUUAUCCGGAGUUACUGGGCGUAAAGCGCGGGCAGGCGGUUUGUCAAGUCUGAUUUGAAAUCUCCUCGCUCAACGGGGAGCAGCCAUUGGAAACUGGGCAACUGGAGUCUGGCAGAGGUAGGCGGAAUUCCGGGUGGAGUGGUGAAAUGCGUAGAGAUCCGGAGGAACACCAGAGGCGAAGGCGGCCUACUGGGCCAGUACUGACGCUGAGCCGCGAAAGCCAGGGGAGCGAACGGG